RNAcentral lists this ribosomal RNA (442 nucleotides) under uncultured Hyphomicrobiaceae bacterium. Its description in RNAcentral is "bacterial SSU rRNA". It matches the Rfam family "Bacterial small subunit ribosomal RNA", at positions 335 to 795 of the family's 1533-position model. The record is from RNAcentral. Lineage: Bacteria; Pseudomonadati; Pseudomonadota; Alphaproteobacteria; Hyphomicrobiales; Hyphomicrobiaceae.
GUCCUACGGGUGGCAGCAGUGGGGAAUAUUGGGCAAUGGGCGCAAGCCUGACCCAGCCAUGCCGCGUGAGUGACGACGGCCUUAGGGUUGUAAAGCUCUUUUGGCGGGGACGAUAAUGACGGUACCCGCAGAAUAAGCCCCGGCUAACUUCGUGCCAGCAGCCGCGGUAAUACGAAGGGGGCUAGCGUUGUUCGGAAUCACUGGGCGUAAAGCGCACGUAGGCGGACUUUCAAGUCAGGGGUGAAAUCCCGGGGCUCAACCUCGGAACUGCCUUUGAUACUGUUGGUCUAGAGUCCGGAAGAGGUGGGUGGAAUUCCUAGUGUAGAGGUGAAAUUCGUAGAUAUUAGGAAGAACACCGGUGGCGAAGGCGGCCCACUGGUCCGGUACUGACGCUGAGGUGCGAAAGCGUGGGGAGCAAACAGGAUUAGAUACCCGGGUAGUC